UCGAGAAUCUUCCGCAAUGGACGAAAGUCUGACGGAGCGACGCUGCGUGCGGGAUGAAGGCCCUUGGGUUGUAAACCGCUGUCAGAGGGGAUGAAAUCUUCGGAGGUACUCCUCCGAAGUUGACAGAGCCUCAAAGGAAGCACGGGCUAAGUACGUGCCAGCAGCCGCGGUAACACGUACUGUGCGAACGUUAUUCGGAAUCACUGGGCUUAAAGGGUGCGUAGGCGGCGAUUCAAGUCAGGUGUGAAAUGCCUGAGCUCAACUGAGGCAUUGCGCUUGAAACUGAAUUGCUAGAGUAUCCCAGGGGUGUGCGGAACUGCCAGUGGAACGGUGAAAUGUGUUGAUAUUGGCAGGAACACCGGAGGCGAAAGCGGCACACUGGGGGAUAACUGACGCUGAGGCACGAAAGCCAAGGGAGCGAACGGGAUUAGAUACCCGCGUAGUCCCUGAGCGGGCUGGCAAGGCGCAU
This 469-nucleotide ribosomal RNA is filed under the name uncultured bacterium. Its description in RNAcentral is "bacterial SSU rRNA". It matches the Rfam family "Bacterial small subunit ribosomal RNA", at positions 355 to 825 of the family's 1533-position model. The record is from RNAcentral.